Molecule: ribosomal RNA, 536 nt
Filed under: Trigonopterus sp. 775 AR-2022a
Lineage: Eukaryota; Metazoa; Arthropoda; Insecta; Coleoptera; Curculionidae
Description: partial large subunit ribosomal RNA
Rfam family: Bacterial large subunit ribosomal RNA
Source: RNAcentral
GGCCUGUUGAUAUAUAAUUUUAGGUCUGGCCUGCCCAAUGAGAAUUUGAAUGGCCGCAGUAAUUUGACUGUGCAAAGGUAGCAUAAUCAUUAGUUUUUUAAUUAAAAGCUUGAAUGAAAGGCUGAAUGAAAGAAUUUCUGUCUCUGUAAAAAUUAGUUAAAAUUUUAUUUUUAAGUGAAAAAGCUUAAAUACACAUAGAAGACAAGAAGACCCUAUAGAAUUUUAUAUUUAAUAUGUAAGUAAAGCUUAGGUUGAAAAUUUUUAUUUAUUUAUAAAAUAUUUUGUUGGGGCGAUAGAAAAAUUAGAUAAACUUUUUAAAGGUUAAAACAUUUAUUUAUGAUUUUUUGAUCCUAAUAUUUAGAUUAAAAGAUUAAAUUACCUUAGGGAUAACAGCGUAAUUUUUUUUAGAGUUCUUAUCAAAAAAAAAGUUUGCGACCUCGAUGUUGGAUUAAAAUUUAAUUUUGGUGAAGAAGCUGAAAGUUUGGGUCUGUUCGACCUUUAAAAUUUUACAUGAUCUGAGUUUAAACCGGUGUGAG